UAUUCAUUAUCCAAACGACCGCCAACCCAAAGUUUUAUAAAGGACCAAACUUGGCGUCUAGCUAUUGUAGCAGCGUACAAGUUGCGAUAGUUUUUAAAAAAAGGGCAACACUAAUAAGAGACUUCAGAAGAAUCAUUAUUUCAACAACUCCAAAGCCUAGUAAUCUUCAUUCAAGAUUGAUUGUUUUUGAACGUGUUUGGAUGUUGUUUGAUAAAUUGGAGCAUACGUGAGCUCAAUUUAAAGAAAUUGAGGUAAUAUUUCCACAAUCACAGCAAUUGAUUUCUAUAGUUUUCAAUUGGGAAAACUUGCUUCUGGUUGUAUUACAGCAUACUGAACUGAGAGGAUGAAAAAUACAGUGAAUGUAUCUCCAGAAAUCAUUCACAUACCUGAAAAGCCAUCCUUUCUUCCUCACCUCCAACCCACAGUCAACAUGCUUGCUGCUGUCAUUGAACCCAAAGAUGCCAAUACUCUAGUCAGGAAGUUGAAUCACAUUGCUCCAUUGGAAAAUUUGCAGCAUGUGAAGCGUGUGCAGAAGAAGUGCAUUGAUGGAGGGAAACCUCAAUUAUCUCUGCUGUUAUCUGUGGCUGCUGAAACUGAUGUUGUGGUUCUUGAGCUUGUCAAAUCGUACCAAUUGAGUACUUUCAUCACAAGAGUUUGCAAAUAUGCUGCAACAUCAAAAGAAGAAUGGGAAGAACAGUGCAAGCUCUGGCCUACUUCGUAUCAUCCGCCAACCUACAAUAUCAGUGGCAUAACUGGAUUUAGUGAAGAGGACUCGCAAUCAAUUUUCGGUUUCAUGAGACAUACCAUUGAUUUGGCAACAUCUUCUGUUGUUGGUCAGGUGGUCAAUGCUGCUGUUAUUGUAGAUCCUUCAACUAAGCAGGUAAUUGCCAGUGCUUGUGAUCAGGUAAUAUCCUCAGCCAGUCUUGCAAAUGAGGUCAGCAAGGAACGUAGCUGCUCUAACUAUCUAAAAAAUCUCAACCAGCAAAGAUUGCUUUUGGACCGUUCAAUUGGUGAAUUUAAACAUAUAAUCAAUAAUGUUGCUUGUGUACAUCCUUGGCGAUGGGCACUGCAAAGCUCUGGUUGCUGGCAUCCUUUGCGGCAUGCGGCUAUUGUAGCCAUUGAAUAUUCUGCUGCCAGGGAUCGACAACUUUUUCCUGAUUACAAAGCGCUAUGUCAUUUGGAGUCUGACAUCCAAACUAAUGGCCAUAGUUCUGAAUCCCUUAGACCUUAUCUAUGCACUGGAUGUGACAUUUACCUGGCUUGGGAGCCAUGUGCAAUGUGCGCAAUGGCGCUUGUCCAUCAAAGAGUUAGACGGAUAUUUUUUUCUUCCGCAAACUCCAAUGCUGGUGCACUAGGAAGUGUUCACAGAUUGCAAGGGGAGCGGAGCUUGAAUCACCAUUAUGGUGUUUUCAGGGUACUGCUGCCUGAGGUGGUAAAGUUGGUAGAUUCAAAGACUGCUGGAAGUGGUUGAAGCAAAUACUAAUCAGCUUUUCAAGAGGUUAGGUCAUAUGAGACUUAGUUUAGUCAGAUAAAUAUUAAAGGGCAGCGGGGUGCACUAAGCUCGCGCUAUGCGCAGAGUCCGGGAAGGGCUGUACCACAAGGGUCUAUUGUACGCAGCCUUACCCUGCAUUUCUGCAAGAGGUUGUUUCCACAGCUCGAACCUGUGACCUGGUCACAUGGCAGCAACUUUACCAGUUACGCCAAGGCUAUAUUAACGUGCAUAAUUCUCCAUGACAUGUACUCGAUCUCCCUUCUUAUGUAUAUGCAAGAAACCAAUUUCAGAGAGCCAAGAAGAAGAUUGGGAGGACAAUAAUAAUGUCUAGCAGAUUUUGAAUUUCUUUAUGGUGAAGUUCUCAAGGCCGAGAAGCUCGGGGAUUGAAUACCCCUAUGUUCCAAGUGACUAGCUUGGCUGGUGAUGCGUUCACCCACUUGCACUCUUCCUUGCAAGCACGAAAUCCUUAGUUCGCCCGCUACCACACGGGCCGGUGUACUCUUAUCGCUAACCCCGAGGAGGCACGAAGAGCUAACAAAGAGUCUUUCUAUUUGACUGUUCGAAAUCAGGUGGGAGAGGCUUUGGGUCCUCCUACUACAAGACAUUUUCAAGAGCUUUCAAAAGCUUUUCGUAUGAAGUUUACCUGGUCAAUAAGAGGGGGGUACUUUCAAUGAGAAGAAUAUCAGAGAGGUGCUUAUCAGUCGGUUCGUUUUGGUUUUGUGCAUUAUCAGUUUCAUUUAUUGAUUUUUAAUUUUUAAACACGCUUAACCAAUAAGAUAUUCGUUAUCUGUUUUCGCUUAAUAGACUUAGGGUCCAUAACGGUUCGAUUUUUUGUUUAACCGAUAAGAAAAUGGUCUAUGUUUAUUUGA
RNA transcript from Lycium barbarum (goji berry), 2361 nucleotides. It is a transcript of the gene named tRNA-specific adenosine deaminase TAD3-like, with no coding region annotated. Lineage: Eukaryota; Viridiplantae; Streptophyta; Magnoliopsida; Solanales; Solanaceae. The transcript has 5 exons. The record is from RefSeq and is a predicted model, not a curated record.